RNAcentral lists this ribosomal RNA (465 nucleotides) under uncultured bacterium. RNAcentral's name for it is "partial 16S ribosomal RNA". It matches the Rfam family "Bacterial small subunit ribosomal RNA", at positions 338 to 795 of the family's 1533-position model. The record is from RNAcentral.
CCUACGGGUGGCAGCAGUGGGGAAUAUUGCGCAAUGGGCGAAAGCCUGACGCAGCGACGCCGCGUGAGGGAUGAAGGUCUUCGGAUUGUAAACCUCUGUCAGCAGGGAAGAACGGUCACUGUGCUAAUCAGCAGUGAAUUGACGGUACCUGCAAAGGAAGCACCGGCUAACUCCGUGCCAGCAGCCGCGGUAAUACGGAGGGUGCGAGCGUUAAUCGGAAUUAGUGGGCGUAAAGGGCUCGUAGGCGGUAUGUCAAGUCAAGGGUGAAAGCCCCGGGCUAAACGUGGGAACUGCCUUUGAAACUGGCAGACUGGAGGUUGUGAGAGGAAAGUGGAAUUCCAGGUGUAGGAGUGAAAUCCGUAGAUAUCGGGAGGAACAUCAGUGGCGAAGGCGACUAUCUGGCACAUAACUGACGCUGAGGAGCGAAAGCGUGGGUAGCAAACAGGAUUAGAUACCCGAGUAGUC